GCAUGACGGGUGUUGGAAAGAUUUUUCGGUCAUGGAUGGACUCGCGGCCUAUCAGCUUGUUGGUGAGGUAAUGGCUCACCAAGGCGACGACGGGUAGCCGGCCUGAGAGGGUGACCGGCCACACUGGGACUGAGACACGGCCCAGACUCCUACGGGAGGCAGCAGUGGGGAAUAUUGCACAAUGGGCGGAAGCCUGAUGCAGCGACGCCGCGUGAGGGAUGACGGCCUUCGGGUUGUAAACCUCUUUCAGUAGGGAAGAAGCGAAAGUGACGGUACCUGCAGAAGAAGCACCGGCUAACUACGUGCCAGCAGCCGCGGUAAUACGUAGGGUGCGAGCGUUAUCCGGAAUUAUUGGGCGUAAAGAGCUCGUAGGCGGUUUGUCGCGUCUGUCGUGAAAGUCCGGGGCUUAACCCCGGAUCUGCGGUGGGUACGGGCAGACUAGAGUGCAGUAGGGGAGACUGGAAUUCCUGGUGUAGCGGUGGAAUGCGCAGAUAUCAGGAGGAACACCGAUGGCGAAGGCAGGUCUCUGGGCUGUAACUGACGCUGAGGAGCGAAAGCAUGGGGAGCGAACAGGAUUAGAUACCCUGGUAGUCCAUGCCGUAAACGUUGGGCACUAGGUGUGGGGACCAUUCCACGGUUUCCGCGCCGCAGCUAACGCAUUAAGUGCCC
RNAcentral lists this ribosomal RNA (669 nucleotides) under uncultured bacterium. RNAcentral's name for it is "bacterial SSU rRNA". It matches the Rfam family "Bacterial small subunit ribosomal RNA", at positions 188 to 869 of the family's 1533-position model. The record is from RNAcentral.